GAUGAACGCUGGCGGCGUGCCUAAUACAUGCAAGUCGAGCGAACAGACGAGGAGCUUGCUCCUCUGACGUUAGCGGCGGACGGGUGAGUAACACGUGGAUAACCUACCUAUAAGACUGGGAUAACUUCGGGAAACCGGAGCUAAUACCGGAUAAUAUAUUGAACCGCAUGGUUCAAUAGUGAAAGACGGUUUUGCUGUCACUUAUAGAUGGAUCCGCGCCGCAUUAGCUAGUUGGUAAGGUAACGGCUUACCAAGGCAACGAUGCGUAGCCGACCGGAGAGGGUGAUCGGCCACACUGGAACUGAGACACGGUCCAGAGUCCUACGGGAGGCAGCAGUAGGGAAUCUUCCGCAAUGGGCGAAAGCUUGACGGAGCAACGCCGCGUGAGUUAUGAAGGUCUUCGGAUCGUAAAGCUCUGUUAUUAGGGAAGAACAAAUGUGUAAGUAACUAUGCACGUCGUGACGGUACCUAAUCAGGAAGCCACGGCUAACUACGUG
Molecule: ribosomal RNA, 497 nt
Filed under: uncultured bacterium
Lineage: Bacteria
Description: partial 16S ribosomal RNA
Rfam family: Bacterial small subunit ribosomal RNA
Source: RNAcentral